This 303-nucleotide ribosomal RNA is filed under the name uncultured bacterium. RNAcentral's name for it is "partial 16S ribosomal RNA". It matches the Rfam family "Bacterial small subunit ribosomal RNA", at positions 507 to 809 of the family's 1533-position model. The record is from RNAcentral.
AGCAGCCGCCGCGGGAAUACGAAGGGUGCAAGCGUUACUCGGAAUUACUGGGCGUAAAGCGUGCGUAGGUGGUGGUUUAAGUCCGUUGUGAAAGCCCUGGGCUCAACCUGGGAAUUGCAGUGGAUACUGGGUCACUAGAGUGUGGUAGAGGAUAGUGGAAUUUCCGGUGUAGCAGUGAAAUGCGUAGAGAUCGGAAGGAACAUCUGUGGCGAAGGCGACUAUCUGGGCCAACACUGACACUGAGGCACGAAAGCGUGGGGAGCAAACAGGAUUAGAGACCCCCGUAGUCCCUGUCUCUUAUAA